CUGGGAGUUAGUUCUCUUUCCACCCAUUUGCCCGCACGGUCUGUUAUUUCUACCUGGGCUCCGUGUAGGGAAGGCUCCAGCUGGUUCUCCCGUCUCUGGCUCCAACUCCGAUAGAAGUGCCAAGAUACUUCUCGUGACCAGUACAGAGGUUGAGCUUUGCUAAGGAACGUGAGACAGGAAUGGACUCUUCUCACACGGGGCUGCAAAUGGCCACUUGACACUCAUGUUUGUGAGCAGUACUGGGGCACAGCCUUGCGUAUUCCUUUUUGCAGAAAAAAAAAAUUUAAUCCCAGAGAAAUCCUUGGUCAUCUCAUAAGCAGCAGGAGCUGUGACUCUGUUGAAAGCUGCAUGUUACGAUGGGCAAAGUCCUGGACUCCAUUCCCAGCACAAAGGAGUAAACUCGGGUACUUGGGAGGCUGAAGCAAAAAUGGUUUCUUGAGCCUGGGAGUUCAAGGUCAGCCUAGGCAACACAGUGAGAGCCCCCCCCCAUCUCAGAAAAACAAAAGCAAAGCAAACGUUUCUAUUCUCUGUGGCCGGCUUAAUAAAUAAAUUGUACUUUUUUUUUCUCUGCACUGUCAA
Molecule: long non-coding RNA, 579 nt
Organism: Mesocricetus auratus (golden hamster)
Lineage: Eukaryota; Metazoa; Chordata; Mammalia; Rodentia; Cricetidae
Exons: 2
Source: RefSeq, a predicted model, not a curated record